Molecule: ribosomal RNA, 283 nt
Filed under: uncultured bacterium
Lineage: Bacteria
Description: partial 16S ribosomal RNA
Rfam family: Bacterial small subunit ribosomal RNA
Source: RNAcentral
UACGGAGGGUCGAGCGUUAACUACGGGAAUUACUGGGCGGGUAAAGUCGGUGCGCAGGCGGUUUGUUAAAGCGAGAUGUGAAAGCCCCCCGGGCUCAACCUGGGAAUUGCAUUUCGAACUGGCGAACUAGAGUCUUGUAGAGGGGGGUAGAAUUCCAGGUGUAGCGGUGAAAUGCGUAGAGAUCUGGAGGAAUACCGGUGGCGAAGGCGGGCCCCCCUGGACGAAAGACUGACGCUCAGGCACGAAAGCGUGGGGAGCAAACAGGAUUAGAUACCCCCGUAGU